GCCGAAUCCGCACGGUUAUGAGGACGGGGCGGCAGGUCACGGCAACGACCUAAAAAGCCUA
Molecule: non-coding RNA, 61 nt
Filed under: unclassified sequences
Source: RNAcentral